AAAUCAGUGGAAAAAACAAUGGAGAAGAAAAGUUGCUGGAGACCAUGGCCAAAAUGGAGGUGAAAACCUCACUUCUGGACAAUAUGAUUGGAGUUGGGGAUAUGGUUCUUUUAGAACCUCUGAAUGAGGAGACCUUCAUCAACAACCUCAAGAAGCGCUUUGACCACAGUGAAAUAUACACAUACAUUGGAAGUGUGGUUAUAUCUGUUAACCCAUAUCGGUCUUUGCCCAUUUAUUCACCAGAGAAAGUGGAAGAAUACAGGAACAGAAAUUUUUAUGAACUGAGCCCUCACAUCUUUGCCCUUUCGGAUGAAGCAUACAGAUCCCUACGAGAUCAAGAUAAGGACCAAUGUAUUCUCAUUACUGGGGAAAGCGGAGCAGGAAAAACAGAGGCCAGUAAGCUUGUCAUGUCCUAUGUGGCAGCUGUUUGUGGAAAAGGAGCAGAAGUUAAUCAAGUUAAAGAACAGCUUUUACAGUCCAACCCGGUCCUGGAAGCUUUUGGAAAUGCCAAAACUGUAAGGAAUGACAACUCCUCUAGAUUUGGCAAAUAUAUGGAUAUUGAAUUUGACUUUAAAGGCGAUCCACUAGGAGGAGUAAUAAGUAACUGUGAGUAUUUUUCUUGAGUCCUUGUAAAGAAGUUCAGAAUACUAAAACAUAUAUUUAUAGUAGAAUAGUUUAGAUACUUGUGUCUUUGAGGCAUAAGAAUAUGUUUCCUUGCUUUAUAUUUAGACUUUAAGCUUUGCAUUUCAGAUUGUUUUAUAAUAUAAUGU
Molecule: small RNA, 770 nt
Filed under: Pongo abelii (Sumatran orangutan)
Lineage: Eukaryota; Metazoa; Chordata; Mammalia; Primates; Hominidae
Description: retained intron
Source: RNAcentral